Molecule: ribosomal RNA, 500 nt
Filed under: uncultured bacterium
Lineage: Bacteria
Description: partial 16S ribosomal RNA
Rfam family: Bacterial small subunit ribosomal RNA
Source: RNAcentral
AUUGAACGCUGGCGGAAUGCUUUACACAUGCAAGUCGAACGAUGAACCUUAGCUUGCUAAGGGGAUUAGUGGCGAACGGGUGAGUAAUAUAUCGGAACGUACCGUGUAAUGGGGGAUAACUAGUCGAAAGAUUAGCUAAUACCGCAUACGCCCUGAGGGGGAAAGUAGGGGAUCUUCGGACCUUACCUUAUAAGAGCGGCCGUUUUCUGAUUAGCUAGUUGGUGGGGUAAUGGCAUACAAAGGCGACGAACAGUAGCUGGUCUGAGAGGACAACCAGCCACACUGGAACUGAGACACGGCCCAGACUCCUACGGGGGGCAGCAGUGGGGAAUUUUGGACAAUGGGCGCAAGCCUGAUCCAGCCAUUCCGCGUGAGUGAAGAAGGCCUUCGGGUUGUAAAGCUCUUUCGCAAGGGAAGAAAACUUACAUUCUAAUAAAGUGUGAGGCUGACGGUACCUUGAUAAGAAGCACCGGCUAACUACGUGCCAGCCGCCGCAGUAA